CAACGAAAUUCAAGUCAGCGGGAAUCCCCAAGAUUUGGAUAUAUCUAACCGAAUUUAGUACAGCCUCCCACACUGAAAACCAGCUAAACCGACAGCCGUCAAAAAUGCUCAGAAACCUACUCCGAACUCCGAAACGAGAUCUGUGUAAUCUGUCUUGUCCGCUUGUAUGAGUGCUGCGGGUCGCUAGUGCUAAAAGAGAGGGCUACCAACCUAAAAGAUGGCUGACGGCAAAGAAAGUGACAGCCAGGAUUUUCCUCUCCACGAAUGUGUUUUUAAAGGUGAUAUUCGUAAACUUUCGCAACUUUUAAGAACGGCAGAUGUCUCGAAAAAGGACAAGCAUGGGAACACGGCGCUUCAUCUGGCUGUUAUGCUCGGGAGGAAGGAAUGCACACAUUUACUGCUUGCACACGGAGCACCUGUGAAAGUGAAAAACCUGCAAGGCUGGUCGCCCCUGGCAGAGGCUAUCAGCUAUGGAGAUAGACAAAUAAUUUGCUCUCUUCUGCGGAAGUUGAAACAACAGGCGCGGGAACAAAUGGAAACCAGGCGGCCGAACUUAGUGAAGGCAUUGCAGCAGAUGGGCGACUUCUAUAUGGAACUGAAAUGGGAUUUCCAGUCGUGGGUUCCCCUUGUAUCAAGGAUACUUCCGUCUGAUGUUUGCAAGAUCCAUAAGUCAGGGUGUUCAAUUAGAUUAGAUACGACCUUAGUGGACUUUUCCGAUAUGCGCUGGGAGCGAGGUGAUAUAUCUUUUAUAUUCCGUGGCGAUAAGUCACCACAGGAAUCGUUAACAGUUCUAGAUAAUGAGUAUCAAUGUUAUCAGCGAGUUCGAUAUGAGGAGACAGACACAGAGAUCGAAGACGAAGUCGACAUACUCAUGUCGAGCGAUAUUUUAGCUGCACAAAUGUCGACCAAGGGUAUAAACUUCUGCAGAGCACAGUCCGGCUGGUUUUUUCGGGAAGACAAAAAGGAAAUCGUUGCAGGUCAAUAUGACUGUGAUUUAUACUGCAUAAAUGGACUUGUAUUGGAGUCCCGAAAGCGACGAGAGCAUUUAUCCCGAGAUGACCUACAGAAAAACAAAGCCCUAAUGGAAUCCUUCACAAAAGGACAUUCUACUGGAAUUGACCAGAAUGGAGAGAUUUUAAGGAGAAAUUCCUUAUUACCGCCUCCUGAGAAUUCAACGUCGUGGGAAGAUUACAUUUCAUCUGAACCUGCCGAAUAUCCAAAAUUGGGACGUGAAUUAGUUUAUAAAGAGUCUACAAAAUGUUUUCGAGCAACAGUGGCAAUGAGCAAGGAUUUCCCCCUAAGCGUUGACAUGUUGCUUAAUGUCCUAGAAGUUAUAGCGCCAUUCAAACACUUUACAAAAUUAAGAGAAUUUGUGACAAUGAAAUUGCCCAGUGGUUUUCCAGUCAAAAUUGAUAUACCCAUCCUGAGAACAGUAUCAGCGAAAAUAACAUUUCAAAAAUUUGAGUUUCGUGAUAAUAUACGACGGGAACUGUUCGAAAUACCUGCAACAUAUACAGAAGAUAGUAGAAGAUUUCCUGACUUAUGACGUAUCAAACACCAUGACAAGCUAGUCACAGGAACUACAAUGAUGCAAGUUUGGAUUAUGUUUUUAAGUCAUCAAGUCUUCUACUAUUUAAAGGAGUUUUACCCCACGAUAAAUUCAAAACUGUUCUUGAUUACAGAAAAGCAGAUCACGCUUAUUUCCACGGAGCUUCUAAUUUAUGUUUCCAUAUGCUUAAAUUAUACAUUUUUGUUAAGUAUUAUCAUUUGAGAAAUCGCUUUAAUAGCCUUAAAACUAAAUUAGCAAACAAAGAGAGCUAAACAAUUUAAUUGAAGUUAAUUAUAACACAAUCUGUUCAUUGGGAUUUUCUUGUCACAUGUAAAUUGAAAAAAAGUCAUACAUAAUAAAAGUGAACCAAACCAUAACCAUCAUUUGAGGAGAUCGUUUUUAAAACAAUGGAAGCCUUUCUCAUCUUAGUAUGAUCUUCAUCUUAUUUUACGCUUUUUGUAAAUAUUUUUUCGUAUUUAUAUAUUUUGUUGAUCUUCGUCCCGUCGGUAUAGUUAAGAUUAUUAAUUUCAUAGAAAUCCACGAGGUGUGAAUUUAGACCAUUUCCAUUUUUUAAGAUGCAUAAAUACUUGAUAAUGGGGCAGGAAUUGCUAAUGUAAUUAUAACAGAUUUUUUACAUUUUUUAAUUACAAGAACAAUGUCACAGAGGAUUAACUAUAGCAAAUGAAAAUCGUAACUAAGCGUAGUAAUUUAUUGUUGUCUAUAAUGUAGUGAAAUAUAGUGGCGAAUAGUUGCAGUUGUUGUUUUUGUGAAAAGUAAUCAUGUUCAGCAGAACUGUAAGCAGGUCAAUGCUAUUCCAUUUAAAUUUAUGUUAAAACUUAUAUCUAAUCGACUAAGUGAAAAUGUGACUUAAUUAUCUACUAAGACUGUAAAUACACUGCAAAAUAUUACAUCUAACAAAAGUCUAUGGUAUAAAUUA
This is an RNA transcript of Hermetia illucens (black soldier fly), 2486 nucleotides long. It is a transcript of the gene named ankyrin repeat domain-containing protein 13C, with no coding region annotated. NCBI's taxonomy places the organism in Eukaryota, Metazoa, Arthropoda, Insecta, Diptera, Stratiomyidae. The record is from RefSeq and is a predicted model, not a curated record. The transcript has 11 exons.